UAAAAUGAGAGACUUUAAAAUUCUUUGUGCUU
Molecule: non-coding RNA, 32 nt
Filed under: Mus musculus (house mouse)
Lineage: Eukaryota; Metazoa; Chordata; Mammalia; Rodentia; Muridae
Source: RNAcentral